RNAcentral lists this long non-coding RNA (862 nucleotides) under Numida meleagris (helmeted guineafowl). RNAcentral describes it as "lncRNA (ENSNMEG00000005719.1)". Lineage: Eukaryota; Metazoa; Chordata; Aves; Galliformes; Numididae. The record is from RNAcentral.
CUGAACUUAGGAGUAUUGUGGGCAAUGUCUCCUUUUUGUUUUCUCUCCAUCGCACAAAAACUUAAAAGGACAUCUUCCUCCAGAGCUGGUGGCAAGACACUGGCCAUACAGCGUGCCCUGCAGACACUGGCGGGGGUCAGGUGUCCAGCAUCAUAUGGGUCUGCAGUGAGGAAUAUUUGGAUCUGCAAUGGGGAACGUGGCCAACCCAGAGCUCAGGGCUUGAGGCUAAAUGUGCGCAGCCCGUUCCAUGAAGCUGCUAGCUGCUGCAGCCUGUAGCAUGAAGCACUGUAUUCCCCAAAUGCCUGACCAUACAAAGGAACAGAAGGCAUUAUCUGCAUGUCUCAAGAGAGGAGAGACUGCGAUUUGCUGCAGCACCUGACUUCCUCAGCAGCCAGGCACUCCUGCAGCGAGCAGCACGCCGGUGACUCACCCAGCGUCAGACAGAAAGUCUGCAGCACCACGACGGCAACUUCACUCCUCUGUGCACACAGAGCACUUCCAGCAUCCAGGGUGCAGUGACACUUCCCCUCACUCCCUCCGAGCAGCAUUAUUUCAUCGUGUCUGCCAGGCACAACUUGCUGCUGGAAUUUGAUGCUUUUAUCUCUGCUCUUUGAUGGACACCCCAGUGGCACAUUUGACUCAUCCUAUUUCUAAUGUUGUCGUGAUAGGAUUCAACACCCCCUCCGUUCUCCCCAGACUCUGUAGAAAAGGUAAAUUUGGAAACCUUUUGCUCAGAGUGACUGAUGAUAGCAGCUCUGUUGUGCCUGAGAAAAUCUCUCACAAUCUAUGAGUUCAAAAACCAUAGGAAUGUUGUUGCUAUGGCUGUGCAUUGUGUUGACUGUGGCUGAGCAAGGUGCACAAC